RNAcentral lists this microRNA (20 nucleotides) under Ophiophagus hannah (king cobra). Its description in RNAcentral is "oha-miR-190a-3p". Its record names the gene oha-miR-190a-3p. RNAcentral also lists the same sequence under 2 other names. Lineage: Eukaryota; Metazoa; Chordata; Lepidosauria; Squamata; Elapidae. The record is from miRBase by way of RNAcentral.
ACUAUAUAUCAAACAUUCCU